RNAcentral lists this unclassified non-coding RNA (430 nucleotides) under soil metagenome. Its description in RNAcentral is "partial contains 5.8S ribosomal RNA, internal transcribed spacer 2, and large subunit ribosomal RNA". The stretch from base 1 to 120 matches the Rfam family "5.8S ribosomal RNA", at positions 35 to 154 of the family's 154-position model. The record is from RNAcentral.
GAUGAAGAACGUAGCGAAAUGCGAUACGUAAUGUGAAUUGCAGAAUUCAGUGAAUCAUCGAAUCUUUGAACGCAUAUUGCGCUCUCUGGUAUUCCGGAGAGCAUGCUUGUUUGAGUAUCAGUAAACACCUCAACUCCCUUUUCUUUUUUGAAAUUGGAGCUGGACUUGAGUGAUCCCAACGCUUUCUUCCAAGAAAGUGGCGGGUUGCUUGAAAUGCAGGUGCAGCUGAACUUUUCUCUGAGCUAUAAGCAUAUCUAUUUAGUCUGCCUAAAAAACAGAUUAUUACCUUUGCUGCAGCUAACAUAAAGGAGACUAGUUCUUGUGCUGACUGAUGCAGGAUUCACAGAGACAGCUUCGGCUGACUUUGUAAACUCGAUCUCAAAUCAAGUAAGACUACCCGCUGAACUUAAGCAUAUCAAUAAGCGGAGGA